This 60-nucleotide transfer RNA is filed under the name Desis jiaxiangi. RNAcentral describes it as "tRNA-Gly". The record is from RNAcentral. Lineage: Eukaryota; Metazoa; Arthropoda; Arachnida; Araneae; Desidae.
GUAAAAUAGUAUAUAAGUAUAUUUAAUUUCCAAUUAAAUGGUGAAUUUAUAUUUUUAAUU